AGUCGAACGGAGAUACGCGCUGAAUGACGAAGCUUGCUUUUGAAUUCUUGCGUAUAUUAGUGGCGGACGGGUGAGUAACGCGUGAGCAACCUGCCUUUCAGAGGGGGAUAACGUUUGGAAACGAACGCUAAUACCGCAUGAGACUACGGUACUACAUGGUACAGUAGCCAAAGGAGCAAUCCGCUGAAAGAUGGGCUCGCGUCCGAUUAGAUAGUUGGCGGGGUAACGGCCCACCAAGUCGACGAUCGGUAGCCGGACUGAGAGGUUGAACGGCCACAUUGGGACUGAGACACGGCCCAGACUCCUACGGGAGGCAGCAGUGAGGGAUAUUGGUCAAUGGGGGAAACCCUGAACCAGCAACGCCGCGUGAGGGAAGACGGUUUUCGGAUUGUAAACCUCUGUCCUCUGUGAAGAUAAUGACGGUAGCAGAGGAGGAAGCUCCGGCUAACUACGUGCCAGCAGCCGCGGUAAUACGUAGGGAGCAAGCGUUGUCCGGAUUUACUGGGUGUAAAGGGUGCGUAGGCGGCCCUGCAAGUCAGAAGUGAAAUCCAUGGGCUUAACCCGUGAACCGCUUUUGAAACUGUAGGGCUUGAGUGAAGUAGAGGCAGGCGGAAUUCCCGGUGUAGCGGUGAAAUGCGUAGAGAUCGGGAGGAACACCAGUGGCGAAGGCGGCCUGCUGGGCUUUAACUGACGCUGAAGCACGAAAGCGUGGGUAGCAAACAGGAUUAGAUACCCUGGUAGUCCACGCCGUA
This 752-nucleotide ribosomal RNA is filed under the name uncultured bacterium. Its description in RNAcentral is "bacterial SSU rRNA". It matches the Rfam family "Bacterial small subunit ribosomal RNA", at positions 60 to 804 of the family's 1533-position model. The record is from RNAcentral.